CCCUUUCGUUUACCGGCCGCUCAGUAGACGAAGGCGUCGAGUGAAACAGAACAGGAGGAGAUGCCUAGCGUAGGUCGGCCGUCGAGGGCGCGCCUCAACUGUUUGGUGGUGGUCUUCGCCGUCGCCUCGGCGCUGUGCGUCUCCGGCCCAGCGCUCUCUGGCGCUUCAAUAUUGGAUUCGUCGCCGCCGGUUCUCUCUCUUCAUCCUCCUCAUCCCUUCCCGGAUGCGCCCCUUGCGUCUGCGAUUGCCCGCCACCGGUCUCUCUCUCGGCCAUCGCCCUGGAUUGUUGAACCUCUCAGUUACGGGUAAAGGAGUAUCUGUAGUUUAUUGAAAUUGAAGUCCUAUCAUGGUGCCAAAUAAACCAACUUUAUUUUAUGGUGAAUUAAGUCAUUGGCGGCUUAUUUCUCAUGUUAUUAGUUUCAUUUUCAUUGCAUACUUUUAAAUAUUUAAAUGCUAGGCACCUGUGUGUAGAUAUCAAAGAACAUCUUGUGCAGGCUUAAUCAAUAUUUAACUCUUUUUUCAGAACUAUUUGAUGGUUGUCUUUACUGUUCUGACCAACACAUGUUUGGAUUAGGCACUACAAAUUCGAAAGAUGGUGAUUGGUGAGUGUGCAUUUUUUAGUUCCAUAUAUUAUUCUAGGAUAAGUUGCUGUCAUGAGACCUAGAGGUCACGGGUUUGAGUCUCGGAAAUAACCUCUGCGUAUAUUGACAGGAGCUUCUGGCACCAGGCGUCCUUUUUUUUGGGCAAAAAUCGAAAGGGCAGCCCAAAUUAAAAGAAACAUCAAAUGGGUGCCCCUUUAAUGAUUUUAUCUUGAAAAACACCCCUUUGAUCCAGCGUUAUUGUAGCAGCUACCCAGUAGCUGCUACAACGUGUAGAAGCUAUCCAGUAGCUGCUACAACACGUUUAGGGUGAGAUUAGGAUUUAGGGUUUAGGGUUUACACCGUGUAGAAACUACCGAGUAGUUGUUACAACGUAUAGAAGCUAAGCAGCUACUACAAUGUGUUUGGGGUUGUAACAAAUACAUAAUAGCUUCUACAAUCAUUUUAAAGUGAUUUUGAUGAAGUUCAUAAAUAGUAUUUUAAUAUAAUAGUGUUCAGAUACACUCUAAACAUGUUGUAGCAGCUAUUGGGUAGUUUCUACACAUUGUAGCAGUUAUUAGGUAACUUCUACACUGUGUAAGCUCUAAACUCAUCUUAAACAUGUUGUAGCAGUUAUCCGAUAGGUUCUAUUCUUCAAUAACAACGCUGGGUCAAGGUAUAUUUUUGGGAUAAAAACAUUGAAGGGGUGCCCUUUUGAUUUAUUUUGAAAAAGGGGCGCUCUUUUGAUGAUUUGCAAAAUUUGGGGCGUCCUUUUGAGUUUUGCCCUUUUUUUAUUUAUUAGUCUGGGACAAAUAUAUGGUUAUCUACAAUGAUUGAGACAGAUUCCCCUCAGCAAGACUGAAAACCACCAUAACUUGUUGAACAACUUGUUUCUGUAGGAUUGAAAUGUUCCAAGAGAAUUUUCUGAUCGAGUAUUUUAGCAAAAAAGCUGAUAUCUUCUCUUACGGUUUAUAGAAUCUAUUGAUGUAGCUCAUAUUGUGGUCAAAGAUAUGAUAUGUGAGUAGAAACUGUCUGAUGUACAAACCUAAAUCUGCUGUUCUGACUCUGGACUGAAACUAUCAGUCAGUUUCAAACAGAAGUUACCUCAGCAGUAAAUUAACCUUGGCAACUGGUUCUAUUCAUUCCUAUUCAUCUAUACCAUCUUUUUGUGGGGCAUAAUCAACUAUUUCUACUGAUGUUGUAAGUUUUGAGUUGUAACUUUUAAUUUCUUUUAACUGCUACUUACAAAUUAGAGUCAUAUACAUGCAAUUCUCAUGACUAUGAUUUCCAUGGUUGUGAAUCACGGCUGCAUGAGUCAUGAUUUUGUUUGCCCUAUGAAAAUUUGCUUUAUAUGCGUUGAUUAAACUGAUCUAAUAUUUGAUUAUUGUUUUUUUUUUUCAAAUGACAAGUUUAUAAGAUGGAUGGCAUCAAAUAACUAUGGAGAAAGUGUGAAGGAAAGAUACUAUUUAUGCUUUGUUCAUUCUUUUUUGGUCAAUGAUUAGAUAAAGAUUCAUAAACAGCAAAGAUAAAGACCAUAAUGGCUUCGAAAUUCUUCCCGAGGUGGAGAAACUGAAUGAUCAACAGAGUGUUGUAUUUCUGAAAUAAAAAGAUGGUCUUUAGGUUGCAUGUUUCAUUUAUUUGCUUUCACUUGUCAAUUUCCAACAUAUCCUAUGGCUCUUGAUCUUGUUUACAUCCAUCUUUACGAAUGUUAACUGCUGUGGUUAUCUAAUCUAAAACACUCCUCUGCAUUGAAGAUUGCGGGAAAGAUGAUCCUGAGAUCAGCAAGGAAAUGGAGAAACAGUUUGUGGAUCUCCUCACAGAGGAAGUGAAGCUACAAGAGGCUUCUUGAUGCCAAUAAAUCAGCUUCUCAAUACCAAAAAGAGGCCGAGAAGUGCUUUGCUGCAACUGAGAUCUGUGAGGAGGCUAGAGAACGAGCUGAAGCAUCCCUAAGAAAGGAGAAGAAGAUAACAACACUUUGGGAACGGCAAUCACGCCAACUAGGCUGGCAAGAUGCAUGAUCCAAGGUUAUGUACCUGCUCCAAAACCACGCUUCUUGCUAGUCAUCUCAGAGACUCAGAGUCAGCAGUAAAAGUUAACUGCAUAAAGGGAACAUUAGUAUCCAAAUAUCCACAUCUGCAACUUGUAGAGUUCAAUUAUUAUGCCGACAUUUUGAACUGAAUCAGUUAGUAUUGGAGAACUUUGAAAUUUGAAUAUCAAUAGUUAGAUUUCUUGAUGCAACUCUAACUGCCUAAGGUGGUAUUCUCAGGUUUGGAUAUCUGUUGGCACUAGUUUUGUAUAAAGUGUACUCACUGAUUUUAUGUACUAGUUAUGUUUUGUUUGAUAUACUUAGAUGAUUUUUUUUAAAAUAA
Long non-coding RNA from Zingiber officinale, 2947 nucleotides. RefSeq lists it as uncharacterized. The record is from RefSeq and is a predicted model, not a curated record. The transcript has 2 exons. NCBI's taxonomy places the organism in Eukaryota, Viridiplantae, Streptophyta, Magnoliopsida, Zingiberales, Zingiberaceae.